RNAcentral lists this ribosomal RNA (2905 nucleotides) under Escherichia coli. RNAcentral's name for it is "23S ribosomal RNA". It matches the Rfam family "Bacterial large subunit ribosomal RNA". Lineage: Bacteria; Pseudomonadati; Pseudomonadota; Gammaproteobacteria; Enterobacterales; Enterobacteriaceae. The record is from RNAcentral.
GGUUAAGCGACUAAGCGUACACGGUGGAUGCCCUGGCAGUCAGAGGCGAUGAAGGACGUGCUAAUCUGCGAUAAGCGUCGGUAAGGUGAUAUGAACCGUUAUAACCGGCGAUUUCCGAAUGGGGAAACCCAGUGUGAUUCGUCACACUAUCAUUAACUGAAUCCAUAGGUUAAUGAGGCGAACCGGGGGAACUGAAACAUCUAAGUACCCCGAGGAAAAGAAAUCAACCGAGAUUCCCCCAGUAGCGGCGAGCGAACGGGGAGGAGCCCAGAGCCUGAAUCAGUGUGUGUGUUAGUGGAAGCGUCUGGAAAGGCGCGCGAUACAGGGUGACAGCCCCGUACACAAAAAUGCACAUACUGUGAGCUCGAUGAGUAGGGCGGGACACGUGGUAUCCUGUCUGAAUAUGGGGGGACCAUCCUCCAAGGCUAAAUACUCCUGACUGACCGAUAGUGAACCAGUACCGUGAGGGAAAGGCGAAAAGAACCCCGGCGAGGGGAGUGAAAAAGAACCUGAAACCGUGUACGUACAAGCAGUGGGAGCCUCUUUAUGGGGUGACUGCGUACCUUUUGUAUAAUGGGUCAGCGACUUAUAUUCUGUAGCAAGGUUAACCGAAUAGGGGAGCCGAAGGGAAACCGAGUCUUAACUGGGCGUUAAGUUGCAGGGUAUAGACCCGAAACCCGGUGAUCUAGCCAUGGGCAGGUUGAAGGUUGGGUAACACUAACUGGAGGACCGAACCGACUAAUGUUGAAAAAUUAGCGGAUGACUUGUGGCUGGGGGUGAAAGGCCAAUCAAACCGGGAGAUAGCUGGUUCUCCCCGAAAGCUAUUUAGGUAGCGCCUCGUGAAUUCAUCUCCGGGGGUAGAGCACUGUUUCGGCAAGGGGGUCAUCCCGACUUACCAACCCGAUGCAAACUGCGAAUACCGGAGAAUGUUAUCACGGGAGACACACGGCGGGUGCUAACGUCCGUCGUGAAGAGGGAAACAACCCAGACCGCCAGCUAAGGUCCCAAAGUCAUGGUUAAGUGGGAAACGAUGUGGGAAGGCCCAGACAGCCAGGAUGUUGGCUUAGAAGCAGCCAUCAUUUAAAGAAAGCGUAAUAGCUCACUGGUCGAGUCGGCCUGCGCGGAAGAUGUAACGGGGCUAAACCAUGCACCGAAGCUGCGGCAGCGACACUAUGUGUUGUUGGGUAGGGGAGCGUUCUGUAAGCCUGUGAAGGUGUACUGUGAGGUAUGCUGGAGGUAUCAGAAGUGCGAAUGCUGACAUAAGUAACGAUAAAGCGGGUGAAAAGCCCGCUCGCCGGAAGACCAAGGGUUCCUGUCCAACGUUAAUCGGGGCAGGGUGAGUCGACCCCUAAGGCGAGGCCGAAAGGCGUAGUCGAUGGGAAACAGGUUAAUAUUCCUGUACUUGGUGUUACUGCGAAGGGGGGACGGAGAAGGCUAUGUUGGCCGGGCGACGGUUGUCCCGGUUUAAGCGUGUAGGCUGAUUUUCCGUGCAAAUCCGGAAAAUCAAGGCUGAGGCGUGAUGACGAGGCACUACGGUGCUGAAGCAACAAAUGCCCUGCUUCCAGGAAAAGCCUCUAAGCAUCAGGUAACAUCAAAUCGUACCCCAAACCGACACAGGUGGUCAGGUAGAGAAUACCAAGGCGCUUGAGAGAACUCGGGUGAAGGAACUAGGCAAAAUGGUGCCGUAACUUCGGGAGAAGGCACGCUGAUAUGUAGGUGAAGCGACUUGCUCGUGGAGCUGAAAUCAGUCGAAGAUACCAGCUGGCUGCAACUGUUUAUUAAAAACACAGCACUGUGCAAACACGAAAGUGGACGUAUACGGUGUGACGCCUGCCCGGUGCCGGAAGGUUAAUUGAUGGGGUUAGCGGUAACGCGAAGCUCUUGAUCGAAGCCCCGGUAAACGGCGGCCGUAACUAUAACGGUCCUAAGGUAGCGAAAUUCCUUGUCGGGUAAGUUCCGACCUGCACGAAUGGCGUAAUGAUGGCCAGGCUGUCUCCACCCGAGACUCAGUGAAAUUGAACUCGCUGUGAAGAUGCAGUGUACCCGCGGCAAGACGGAAAGACCCCGUGAACCUUUACUAUAGCUUGACACUGAACAUUGAGCCUUGAUGUGUAGGAUAGGUGGGAGGCUUUGAAGUGUGGACGCCAGUCUGCAUGGAGCCGACCUUGAAAUACCACCCUUUAAUGUUUGAUGUUCUAACGUUGGCCCCUGAUCGGGGUUGCGGACAGUGUCUGGUGGGUAGUUUGACUGGGGCGGUCUCCUCCUAAAGAGUAACGGAGGAGCACGAAGGUUGGCUAAUCCUGGUCGGACAUCAGGAGGUUAGUGCAAUGGCAUAAGCCAGCUUGACUGCGAGCGUGACGGCGCGAGCAGGUGCGAAAGCAGGUCAUAGUGAUCCGGUGGUUCUGAAUGGAAGGGCCAUCGCUCAACGGAUAAAAGGUACUCCGGGGAUAACAGGCUGAUACCGCCCAAGAGUUCAUAUCGACGGCGGUGUUUGGCACCUCGAUGUCGGCUCAUCACAUCCUCGGGGCUGAAGUAGGUCCCAAGGGUAUGGCUGUUCGCCAUUUAAAGUGGUACGCGAGCUGGGUUUAGAACGUCGUGAGACAGUUCGGUCCCUAUCUGCCGUGGGCGCUGGAGAACUGAGGGGGGCUGCUCCUAGUACGAGAGGACCGGAGUGGACGCAUCACUGGUGUUCGGGUUGUCAUGCCAAUGGCACUGCCCGGUAGCUAAAUGCGGAAGAGAUAAGUGCUGAAAGCAUCUAAGCACGAAACUUGCCCCGAGAUGAGUUCUCCCUGACUCCUUGAGAGUCCUGAAGGAACGUUGAAGACGACGACGUUGAUAGGCCGGGUGUGUAAGCGCAGCGAUGCGUUGAGCUAACCGGUACUAAUGAACCGUGAGGCUUAACCUU